Molecule: ribosomal RNA, 868 nt
Filed under: uncultured archaeon
Lineage: Archaea
Description: bacterial SSU rRNA
Rfam family: Archaeal small subunit ribosomal RNA
Source: RNAcentral
CUCCGGGUGAUCCCGCCGGACCCGACUGCUAUCAGAGUGGGACUAAGCCAUGCGAGUCAACGCCGCAAGGCGUGGCAUACGGCUCAGUAACACGUAGUCAACAUGCCCAGGGGACGUGGAUAACCUCGGGAAACUGAGGAUAAACCGCGAUAGGCCAAGGUUUCUGGAAUGGACACUGGCUGAAACCUAUAUGGCCCCUGGAUUGGACUGCGGCCGAUCAGGCUGUUGGUGAGGUAAUGGCCCACCAAACCUGUAACCGGUACGGGCUUUGAGAGAAGGAGCCCGGAGAUGGGCACUGAGACAAGGGCCCAGGCCCUAUGGGGCGCAGCAGGCGCGAAACCUCUGCAAUAGGCGAAAGCUUGACAGGGUUACUCUGAGUGAUGUCCGCUAAGGGCAUCUUUUGGCACCUCUAAAAAUGGUGCAGAAUAAGGGGUGGGCAAGUCUGGUGUCAGCCGCCGCGGUAAUACCAGCACCCCGAGUGGUCGGGACGAUUAUUGGGCCUAAAGCAUCCGUAGCUUGUUCUGCAAGUCCUCCGUUAAAUCCACCUGCUCAACAGAUGGGCUGCGGGGGAUACUACAGGGCUAGGAGGCGGGAGAGGCAAACGGUACUCAGUGGGUAGGGGUAAAAUCCUCUGAUCCACUGAAGACCACCAGUGGCGAAGGCGGUUUGCCAGAACGCGCUCGACGGUGAGGGAUGAAAGCUGGGGGAGCAAACCGGAUUAGAUACCCGGGUAGUCCCAGCUGUAAACGAUGCAGACUCGGUGAUGGGUUGGCUUCGAGCCAACCCAGUGCCGCAGGGAAGCCGUUAAGUCUGCCGCCUGGGGAGUACGGUCGCAAGACUGAAACUUAAAGGAAUUGGCGGGGGAGCA